CGAGAGGGAGGUGGUUGCCGCCGGUUGGCCGCUCUGCAGUCAACGGGAGGAAAGUCCGGACACCAAAUGGCAGCGUAGCGGGUAACCCCCGUCCAUCGUGAGGUGAGGACCAGUGCAACAGAAAGGAUGUACAGGAGCUUUUAGCUUGCUGUAGUGAAAUCGGGUAAACUCUGCGUGGUGCAAGCUCAAAUAGGUCUGCGUUUUAAGGGGGGCCACUCCAAGGCAGACGGGUAGAGUGCACGAGCUUACAGGUAACUGUAAGCCUAGAUGAAUGGCAGCUUUUGACAGAAUCCGGCUUACUCUCCCUCUCGGCUU
Molecule: RNase P RNA, 315 nt
Filed under: Bdellovibrionales bacterium
Lineage: Bacteria; Pseudomonadati; Bdellovibrionota; Bdellovibrionia; Bdellovibrionales
Description: RNase P RNA component class A
Rfam family: Bacterial RNase P class A
About the family: Ribonuclease P (RNase P) is a ubiquitous endoribonuclease, found in archaea, bacteria and eukarya as well as chloroplasts and mitochondria. Its best characterised activity is the generation of mature 5'-ends of tRNAs by cleaving the 5'-leader elements of precursor-tRNAs.
Source: RNAcentral